UGAGGAAUAUUGGUCAAUGGCCGAGAGGCUGAACCAGCCAAGUCGCGUGAAGGAAGAAGGAUCUAUGGUUUGUAAACUUCUUUUAUAGGGGAAUAAAGUGGAGGACGUGUCCUUUUUUGUAUGUACCCUAUGAAUAAGCAUCGGCUAACUCCGUGCCAGCAGCCGCGGUAAUACGGAGGAUGCGAGCGUUAUCCGGAUUUAUUGGGUUUAAAGGGUGCGUAGGUGGUGAUUUAAGUCAGCGGUGAAAGUUUGUGGCUCAACCAUAAAAUUGCCGUUGAAACUGGGUUACUUGAGUGUGUUUGAGGUAGGCGGAAUGCGUGGUGUAGCGGUGAAAUGCAUAGAUAUCACGCAGAACUCCGAUUGCGAAGGCAGCUUACUAAACCAUAACUGACACUGAAGCACGAAAGCGUGGGGAUCAAACAGGA
This 425-nucleotide ribosomal RNA is filed under the name uncultured bacterium. Its description in RNAcentral is "bacterial SSU rRNA". It matches the Rfam family "Bacterial small subunit ribosomal RNA", at positions 355 to 777 of the family's 1533-position model. The record is from RNAcentral.